RNAcentral lists this ribosomal RNA (801 nucleotides) under Triticum aestivum (bread wheat). RNAcentral's name for it is "partial small subunit ribosomal RNA". The record is from RNAcentral. Lineage: Eukaryota; Viridiplantae; Streptophyta; Magnoliopsida; Poales; Poaceae.
AUGAUAUCUCUUCAUUGUUUACUCAUGACAGUGUUACCUAAGCUCUUCCUUCAUGAAGAACUCCAUACUGGGAGCGUAUUAGGCGCUAUCACCAUCGGCCUCUAUGUAGUCCUGUGGGGUACAGAAGACGAUGGAGAGAGUGAGAGCAUGGUGGAGGAGAACAGGCCCGACCCUCGCGUCGCCCACACCGGGCGACUCGAGGGGAACCCCAGCCGCCACCGACCGCCGCCCCUCCUCCCGGCCACCCCCGCGUCGCCGCCGCCGGAGGGCCGGCCGACGAAGCCGCGCCGGACCCAGGGAUGGCGGCGGCGAGGCCGUUCUUCCCCCAUCCCGCUUCACCCCACGCCCUUUCCCUCCACAGCUCCUCCAGAUCUGUCCCCUGGCGGCUCCAGCGGCUUCCACCGGCGCCGUGAGCGGCCUCCCCCGGCGGUGUCUUCCCCGCCCGCUGCUGGUGUGGUGGGUCUCCCUCCGGAUGCGGCUCCUCCUGCUGCACUGGUCCCGUCUGCCCCAUUUGGAUCUGGGGCCCAGCCGGUUGUGGUGCUCCCCAGCCCGCUUGCCGUGGCGGCCGGGCACGCCCUCCUUGCUGCGUCCACCCCUCCCCCGACCCCCGCCACUCGUCCCUCUGCCGUCGCGGGUUUCCUGGUGGUCGCGCUUCAGCACCAGAUCUGCGGGUUCAGGUGGCCUUGUCGGCCGGCUCCCCGUGCUCUCUCGUUGCGGCCUCGCGCUGGCCGUGGUGCACCUCAGCCUCUCCUUGUUGGGCGCGGCGCCCCGGCGUGUUGCUGCUUCUUUGGCCCUCCGUAG